UUGAGGCGAUGAAGCGAAAGGUUGCCUGCAAGGGAAAUUUUCGUGGAGAAAUGUCUAGAUCUAUGAAUCGGGCGACAA
The sequence is a regulatory RNA element, 78 nucleotides long. It matches the Rfam family "S10-Clostridia ribosomal protein leader". The record is from Rfam.